AUAGUAGUGCCCGCAGCUGGUUCGGCAGUCACUCCACGACGGCCGAGGCAAGAGGGAACCCGGUGGAAUUCCGGGACUGCCCCGCAGCGGUGAGUGGGAACGACCGCCGUCAACGAAGCACUGGGCCCGCCAGGUCUGGGAAGCGACGGCCAGUAGGCACGAACACGCCCACGAGUCCGAAGACCUGCCAGCGCGCCGCACGCGUA
This 206-nucleotide non-coding RNA is filed under the name Micromonospora maris AB-18-032. The record is from RNAcentral. RNAcentral also lists the same sequence under 1 other name. Lineage: Bacteria; Bacillati; Actinomycetota; Actinomycetes; Micromonosporales; Micromonosporaceae.